UACGUAGGGAGCAAGCGUUGUCCGGAAUCAUUGGGCGUAAAGCGCGCGUAGGUGGCUUCGUAAGUCCGUUGUGAAAGUCAAAGGCUCAACCUUUGAAAGCCGAUGGAUACUGCGGAGCUAGAGUACGGAAGAGGCGAGUGGAAUUCCUGGUGUAGCGGUGGAAUGCGCAGAUAUCAGGAGGAACACCAAUAGCGAACGCAGCUCGCUGGGACGUUACUGACACUGAGGCGCGAAAGCGUGGGGAGCGAACAGG
RNAcentral lists this ribosomal RNA (253 nucleotides) under uncultured bacterium. RNAcentral describes it as "partial 16S ribosomal RNA". It matches the Rfam family "Bacterial small subunit ribosomal RNA", at positions 524 to 776 of the family's 1533-position model. The record is from RNAcentral.